CCCCACCGCUGUGACUACUCCGGACUCGCCCGCAGAGUUUGCCCGCCUGGGAGGGUGGCCGAUUGGCGGAGCGCACUCCUGCUGUUUUCCCCACCAUCUCGUGGAUGUCGUCCCUCGGGUGGUGAGAGAAGUUUGCAGCGGGCUGGAGCGCCCUUUACGGAGAAGCAGAAGAAGGUAAAGGAAGGAAAGAAGACCGAGGAAGAAGGGGCUCGGAAGAAGGGUCCAGAGCGGCCGAGCCGGCCGUGCAGGACGAGUGCGCGCGAGGCGCGGCGCCCUGAUGCUCCUCGGGCUCGAGGAGCAGCGGGCAGUUGCUGGACUGCUCUCGGUGGAGUAGCCCCAUCGGUCCCGGAGGGUUUGUGCAACGGCGGAGAACACCGAGUGCUGGUCGCACGGGGCGUGCCGAGUCGCCUCCCGGCGCGCCCUCCGCACUUUCCCCGCCUCGUCAUCCCACGCUCCCCGGCCAGGAGCCUCCGCCGCUUCCUCAACCUCGCUCCCCUUUGCGUCCCGGGAGCCUGCGAGCACCUGGCCGAAGGCGCAGCCGAGUCUUGCGGGAGUCGCCCCGAAAGCGUCGGGUUUGUUUGUGUGGGGUUAGCGGGGGCCGCCUCGCCACCUGCAUCUCGCCCGCCGCCGCCUCGGGGAAAACCCGAAGAGGAGGCGGACCAGGAGAAGAGCAAAGAAAAGCAGCCCGUCUGGAUUUGUUUGCCCAGGACUGGCGCCGCGCACGCGGAUCGCCGAGGGGAGUGCGGUCGGAGUCACCGCGCCCCCGCCUCCCCGCCCCGGCGGCUGAGGCCGGGGGGUUGGAGCGCUGCCCCCGCGCACAGUCCCCGAGCGCCUGGCGUCUCCGCGCAGGUUCUCGAAGCAGCUGGGCCUGGGGCGCCCACAAAUGUGGCCCUGAGGGCCGGAGCCCGCACCGACGGGAGCGGGAGCAGGAGCAGCUGGGGGCGCCGAGUGGCCAGUGCGCCCGGCCGAGCGCGCCUGCGUGCGUGGCCAGCGCGCUCCCCGCUUCUGCCUGGCUUCCCGGCUUAA
Molecule: long non-coding RNA, 1026 nt
Filed under: Theropithecus gelada (gelada)
Lineage: Eukaryota; Metazoa; Chordata; Mammalia; Primates; Cercopithecidae
Description: lncRNA (ENSTGEG00000028195.1)
Source: RNAcentral